AUUGAACGCUGGCGGCAGGCCUAACACAUGCAAGUCGAACGGGUGGCGGACGGGUGAGUAAUGUCUGGGAAACUGCCUGAUGGAGGGGGAUAACUACUGGAAACGGUAGCUAAUACCGCAUACCAUCGGAUGUGCCCAGAUGGGAUUGGCGAGUAGGUGGGGUAACGGCUGACCUAGGGGACGAUCCCUAGCUGGUCUGAGAGGAUGACCAGCACCACUGGAACUGGGGAACGGUCCAGACUCCUACGGGAGGCAGCAGUGGGGAAUAUUGCACAAUGGGCGGAAGCCUGAUGCAGCCAUGCCGCGUGGAUGAAGAAGGGCUUCGGGUUGUAAAGUACUUUCAGCGAGGAGGCGUUACUCGCAGAAGAAGCACCGGCUAACUCCGUGCCAGCAGCCGCGGUAAUUC
Molecule: ribosomal RNA, 406 nt
Filed under: uncultured bacterium
Lineage: Bacteria
Description: partial 16S ribosomal RNA
Rfam family: Bacterial small subunit ribosomal RNA
Source: RNAcentral